Long non-coding RNA from Salvelinus fontinalis (brook trout), 1261 nucleotides. RefSeq lists it as uncharacterized. The transcript has 2 exons. The record is from RefSeq and is a predicted model, not a curated record. NCBI's taxonomy places the organism in Eukaryota, Metazoa, Chordata, Actinopteri, Salmoniformes, Salmonidae.
CUAGCCUACAUACUGUAGGCAUAUGCCUAGUUCAAGGAAAACAGGCCAUGCCAUAUCCAGACUUCCUCGGCUUCCUCAAAUAUUCAUUUACUCUAUCUUUUAUGCUUUUUCGGGUUGCAUCACUCAAGGAGAGAAACAUCAGAGACACAUUUUUUAUGAUGAACACUCGGAGAUUCACUGGUAAGCCAAAUUUGCCUCUGGAUCCAUCCCAAUUGGUAUUCUGUGCCCACUCGUGAUACCUCUCUUUGGUUACGCAUUCUUGGAAUAGCAAAACAGCAUAACGGUCCGGACGGCCCAUGCUGUGCUCGGUGAGCAGUUCGUUACGUUCUGGUGUCAGUCGAGGAAUGGAAAUGUCAGGGUGAACUGACGAACUGGAUGUCGGAGGUGGAGUUCCAGAGCUCACAUGGAUUGGCAUGAAUUUUAACUCCAUCAUCUCUUCCCUCGCCCUCUUCAACGAGCCAUUCUCUGUCUGACUCUCCACCAAUGCGGCCUGGCACUCUGUCAAUGUCACCUGGCUCUGGACCAAUGCAUCAGCCGUCGCCCGUAUCUCUGCCCUCAGAGAAUGUUUCUCUUUCUGCUGGUCUACCUUCAAUGAUGAGCUCACUCAAUCUUAACAAUCACAAGUGACUGUUCUACACAAAUGCUGCAUACACAAACACGUUUUAAGAAUCUAGCAAAACUCACCGCUUUCUUUGGAACCAUGCGUUUUUUCAUUGGGUCGAAACUACAGUACAGAACGAGAACACACAUGGUUAAUGUUCUGUAAAACAAAAAGCCUACAAGACCUUCAAAAACAAAUACUGUUUCUUACCGAGCCUUAUUCUUAUAAAUCCACCCAUGUUUCUUCAACUGCCUUCUGACUGUGAUUAGAGCAAUGUUGAUGUUGUGCUGUGAUGCCAGCAGAUUCCUGAUCUCCUUCGCAUAUCGCUCAUCAUCUUCAUCAAUCAGACAGUGAGGACAGACACACUCUCCUUCCACACUGAGCCCAAACCAGAGUCACUGGUUCCUGAUUGUGACAGUGGAGUCCAGUGUGCAGCGCAGGAUCCAGAGAUGGCAUCAGUAAAGCUGGAAGACUGCAGUCAAACACUGGGGCUGAUUAAAGAUGAAGAUGAGGAAGAGAUUGGGAAAUAUAUUCCUCAUGGUGAGAGAAGCCUCACUCCUGCUCUGACUGUGAAAGUGCUUUAUUACAAAACCUAAACUAACCAUUAUUGUUUUGUAAUGUGCCAUGUUUGUUAUUAUUAAACUCACCAUCUGCACCUGC